UGAGUUUGUUGAGGUUUCACCGUUUAUUGUUCAGUUCCAGAUUUACCUAAUGUCAGUGAAUGCACCAUGUUUAGUUAGCUCACCUCUGAUUGGCUGAGAGUCAGCAGUAGAGAGAGCUGGGAACGGCGGCUAAUUCUGGAGCUAAGUUAUGGGGUUUUUCUAGUUAUUCUGGAGCUAAGUUAUGGGGUUUUUCUAGUUCUUCUGGAGCUAAGUUAUGGGGUUUUUCUAGUUAUUCUGGAGCUAAGUUAUGGGGUUUUUCUAGUUCUUCUGGAGCUAAGUUAUGGGGUUUUUCUAGUUAUUCUGGAGCUAAGUUAUGGGUUUUUCUAGUUCUUCUGGAGCUAA
Acanthochromis polyacanthus (spiny chromis) is the source of this 342-nucleotide long non-coding RNA. RefSeq lists it as uncharacterized. The record is from RefSeq and is a predicted model, not a curated record. NCBI's taxonomy places the organism in Eukaryota, Metazoa, Chordata, Actinopteri, Pomacentridae. The transcript has 3 exons.